GACGAACGCUGGCGGCGUGCUUAACACAUGCAAGUCGAGCGGUAAGGCCCUUUCGGGGGUACACGAGCGGCGAACGGGUGAGUAACACGUGGGUGACCUGCCCUCAGCUCUGGGAUAAGCCCGGGAAACUGGGUCUAAUACUGGAUAUGACUCCAUGACGCAUGUUGUGGGGUGGAAAGCCUUGUGCGGCUGAGGAUGGGCCCGCGGCCUAUCAGCUUGUUGGUGGGGGGAUGGCCUACCAAGGCGACGACGGGUAGCCGGCCUGAGAGGGCGACCGGCCACACUGGGACUGAGACACGGCCCAGACUCCUACGGGAGGCAGCAGUGGGGAAUCUUGCGCAAUGGGCGAAAGCCUGACGCAGCGACGCCGCGUGAGGGAUGACGG
RNAcentral lists this ribosomal RNA (385 nucleotides) under uncultured bacterium. Its description in RNAcentral is "bacterial SSU rRNA". It matches the Rfam family "Bacterial small subunit ribosomal RNA", at positions 28 to 414 of the family's 1533-position model. The record is from RNAcentral.